RNAcentral lists this ribosomal RNA (253 nucleotides) under uncultured bacterium. RNAcentral's name for it is "partial 16S ribosomal RNA". It matches the Rfam family "Bacterial small subunit ribosomal RNA", at positions 524 to 776 of the family's 1533-position model. The record is from RNAcentral.
GACGAACUGUCCUAACGUUGUUCGGGAUCACUGGGCUUAAAGGGCGCGUAGGCGGUCCGACAAGUCGGGGGUGAAAUCCUGCAGCUUAACUGCAGAAGUGCCUUCGAUACUGUCGGUCUUGAGGGAGAUAGGGGUGUGCGGAACUUCCAGUGGAGCGGUGAAAUGCGUUGAUAUUGGAAGGAACGCCGGAGGCGAAAGCGGCGCACUGGAUCUCUUCUGACGCUGAGGCGCGAAAGCUAGGGGAGCAAACGGG